Molecule: ribosomal RNA, 472 nt
Filed under: uncultured Sphingobacteriales bacterium
Lineage: Bacteria; Pseudomonadati; Bacteroidota; Sphingobacteriia; Sphingobacteriales
Description: bacterial SSU rRNA
Rfam family: Bacterial small subunit ribosomal RNA
Source: RNAcentral
GACGGGGCCCGGCACAAGACGGUGGAGCAUGUGGUUUAAUUCGAAGCAACGCGAAGAACCUUACCAGGCCUUGACAUGCAGAGAACUUUCCAGAGAUGGAUUGGUGCCUUCGGGAACUCUGACACAGGUGCUGCAUGGCUGUCGUCAGCUCGUGCCGUGAGGUGUCGGGUUAAGCCCCAUAACGAGCGCAACCCCUACCUUUAGUUGCCAUCAGGUAAUGCUGGGGACUCUAAAGGAACUGCCUACGCAAGUAGUGAGGAAGGCGGGGAUGACGUCAAAUCAGCACGGCCCUUACGUCCAGGGCUACACACGUGCUACAAUGGCCGAUACAGAGGGUAGCUACCUGGUGACAGGAUGCAAAUCUCCAAAGUCGGUCUCAGUUCGGAUCGGAGUCUGCAACCCGACUCCGUGAAGUUGGAUUCGCUAGUAAUCGCGCAUCAGCCAUGGCGCGGUGAAUACGUUCCCGGGCCUU